Molecule: long non-coding RNA, 759 nt
Organism: Phlebotomus papatasi
Lineage: Eukaryota; Metazoa; Arthropoda; Insecta; Diptera; Psychodidae
Exons: 2
Source: RefSeq, a predicted model, not a curated record
AAUUUAGUAUGAAAAUUCGAAAUUGAAUUUGAAUUCUUCGAACAUCAACGACUUUUUGUGCAAAUAGAGUUCCAUUUACCUUUCAUCCAAGACACUAUUGGAGAAUCAAAAUCUACUUCUGUUUGAGCCCAAUCGGUCAUAACUCGGUACAGUACCCAUAAUUGAUGUAUCUUUCUCAUAUAUCUUUUAUUUGUUCGAAAGGUUGAUACAGCUAAAGGCCAAACGGUAAGAAAUAUCGACUCCCGGUGUACAACAAUCCUGCCCCAUAAGUCAACAUUAUUUAGAACAGGCCUUUCCCCUUCCCCAUUCCCCUCCAAAAACAAUGUUUUUUUUUGUUUAUUUCGAAAACGGCUCCUAGAUUUUUUUCAUUUUCGAAUAGGUUUUGGAGGUAGUCUAGGUAAAUAUAUUUCGUCCUAAGACACCUGUGUUCGAACAACAUUUCGAUAUCGAAUUUUCGAAUGUCAAAAUUUAAACACUUCCUAUUUUUCAACCGAUUUGCUUAAAUUUGGGUUUUUUCGAAAGAUUUUGAAGUUUAUAAUCUUAUUGCAUCUGACUUAAUCGGUAAUGAAUCGAUAAUGUACCACUUUGUAAAGCAUGGAAAGCUUUGCCUUUUUAUUGUCCUGCCAGAGGGCAGAAACCGAAAAUUUAUUUCGCACUUUUGAAACGUUAAUCCUAUACUUACGUAUUACGUUCAGAUGUUACAUGGCUAGACACAUAAAAACUUUGAAAUAUUAUCAUCUUUAAAACGAAAAUAUAAAA